UGCCAGCAGCCGCGGUAAUACCGGUGGCUCGAGUGGUGGCCGCUAUUAUUGGGUCUAAAGGGUCCGUAGCCGGCCUGAUAAGUUACCUGGGAAAUCCGGUGGCCUAACCAUCGGGCGGCCAGGUAAUACUAUCAGGCUCGGGACUAGGAGAGACCAGAGGUACUCAUGAGGUAGGAGUGAAAUCCUGUAAUCUUAUGAGGACCACCAGUGGUGAAGACGUCUGGUUAGAAUAGGUCCGACGGUGAGGGACGAAGGCUGGGGGCGCAAACCGGAUUAGAUACCCGGGUAGUCCCAGCAGUAAACGAUGCCAGCUAUGUGUUGCUGGAACCAUGGGUUCCAGCAGUGCCGAAGGGAAGCCGUGAAGGCUGGCCACCUGGGAAGUACGGUCGCAAGGCUGAAACUUAAAGGAAUUGGCGGGGGAGUACCACAACCGGUGGAGCCUGCGGUUUAAUUGGAUACAACGCCGGGAAUCUUACCGGAGGGGGACAGCAGUAUGAAGGCCAGGCUAAAGACCUUGCCAGAUCAGCUGAGAGGAGGUGCAUGGCCGUCGCCAGUUCGUACCGUGAGGC
Molecule: ribosomal RNA, 569 nt
Filed under: uncultured bacterium
Lineage: Bacteria
Description: bacterial SSU rRNA
Rfam family: Archaeal small subunit ribosomal RNA
Source: RNAcentral